GACGAACGCUGGCGGCGUGCUUAACACAUGCAAGUCGAACGGAAAGGCCCCCUUGUGGGGUACUCGAGUGGCGAACGGGUGAGUAACACGUGAGUAACCUACCCUUGACUUUGGGAUAACUUCAGGAAACUGGGGCUAAUACCGGAUAGGAGCUCCUGCUGCAUGGUGGGGGUUGGAAAGUUUCGGCGGUUGGGGAUGGACUCGCGGCUUAUCAGCUUGUUGGUGGGGUAGUGGCUCACCAAGGCUUUGACGGGUAGCCGGCCUGAGAGGGUGACCGGCCACAUUGGGACUGAGAUACGGCCCAGACUCCUACGGGAGGCAGCAGUGGGGAAUAUUGCACAAUGGGCGGAAGCCUGAUGCAGCAACGCCGCGUGCGGGAUGACGGCCUUCGGGUUGUAAACCGCUUUCGCCUGUGACGAAGCGUGAGUGACGGUAAUGGGUAAAGAAGCACCGACUAACUACGUG
Molecule: ribosomal RNA, 465 nt
Filed under: uncultured bacterium
Lineage: Bacteria
Description: partial 16S ribosomal RNA
Rfam family: Bacterial small subunit ribosomal RNA
Source: RNAcentral